This 1356-nucleotide long non-coding RNA is filed under the name Homo sapiens (human). RNAcentral's name for it is "non-protein coding lnc-CTSV-2:10". Lineage: Eukaryota; Metazoa; Chordata; Mammalia; Primates; Hominidae. The record is from RNAcentral.
GCUUCUUCGUGGCCCGCGACAGUCCGGCCACCUUCAUCGGCCAGUGGCGCACGGAUCUGGGCGACUCCGAAGUGCUCCGCGAGCUGGCAAGGGAGACACUGGGACUCUGCACCCGCUCAGCUCCCCAAGAUAAAGGCCUCGGAGGGGAAGUUCCGCGUGGGAGACUCCGGCCUGUUGGUCUCUGUGCUGGUGCGGGGGAGCCGCGUGACGGCGCGCGUGGGUGUGGCGACCCGCUGGAGCGCUACCUGGACCGUCAGGACCCGCGCUGCCGCUCCUCCACUACCCACUGCCCGCCCCCGUCGAGGGUCCGCACCCUGUCCCCGCAGAGGGUGUCGCCCACCCCUAGCCCCUGCCCUGGUAGCCUGGUCCCCUCGAGAGAGCGCCGGCGCUCCGGGCCCUAGGUGACCCCUAUUCGCUUACAAAGCAUAAAGCAGGUGCCGAGGCUCCCAGGCCCUGGGAUCAGCUGCCCGCCGCAUCCCCGCUCCUACUCCGAGGACAGUGACUCCUCAGCUUUCUCAGCCCAGAGCCGCCCCCUUGGUGCCCGCAGCGAGGAUGAGGCACUAGGCCCGGAGGAAGCGAUCCAGACGGGGGCUGACCACCACCACCUGGCCUCUCCGAGACGGCCCCCUGCCCCGCGCAGCCAGUCCCGGGACCGGCUGGAUCCGGGUCAGCCCCGGGGAGCUCCAGAAGAGAGAGGAGGGGAGCCCAGCUGCGGGCCCUCAGCCCUGCCCCGUGGGCGCAGGAGCAGGUUGGGCGCAAGGAUGGAGAUGGGCAGCACUCGUGGGAGCCACAGGGCAGGGGCAGCGGGGCUCGGGCAGGAGCACUCCUGGGCUCUCCGUGCCCACCACCCUGAAGCACCCUGGCUUUCCCAGUCCAAACCCAGUGUAGAGUUUAGCACCACACGCGCCAGCGUCUUCCGCACACACCAGAGCAGCUGCUCUGACGCCUGGACGAGGAGUUUCUGGCCAAUGCCGGGACCCAUAAGGCUGUUGCUAGCGGGACCUCCACUAGACCAGCCCCUAACCGGGCUCCAGCCCCAGACCCUCUAGCUCCUGACUCGGCCUACAGAUCCUCUAGUUCCUCCUCUUCAUCCCUCAUUCUCUUGUAUGGCAAACGUGGCCAACGUGGGGACUCUGGCCUUAAGACCAAUGGGCUGCCCGGCCCGCUGUCAAGCCCUUCCCAGCUCCUCCUCCAAUGAAGGAAAGCCCUGCCCUAGCAUGGGAGGGGCUACUAGAUGCACCUGGGAGCCCCCUGACUGGUCCAGAACACUCGAGGACCUGAGCACUGGGUAGGAUGGACACACAGCCAGACUGCAAACCCUCGGGCAUCCCCAUGCCUAGGGUCUCCCCCGGGUUC